UCCCUGGUGGCUCAGAGGUUAAAGUAUCUGCCUGCAAUGUGGGAGACCCGGGUUCGAUCCCUGGGUUGGGAA
Molecule: transfer RNA, 72 nt
Filed under: Capra hircus (goat)
Lineage: Eukaryota; Metazoa; Chordata; Mammalia; Artiodactyla; Bovidae
Also listed under: 1 other name
Rfam family: tRNA
About the family: Transfer RNA (tRNA) molecules are approximately 80 nucleotides in length.
Source: Rfam by way of RNAcentral